Molecule: ribosomal RNA, 513 nt
Filed under: uncultured bacterium
Lineage: Bacteria
Description: partial 16S ribosomal RNA
Rfam family: Bacterial small subunit ribosomal RNA
Source: RNAcentral
GACGAACGCUGGCGGCAUGCCUAAUACAUGCAAGUCGAGCGAACAGAUGAAGUGCUUGCGCUUCUGACGUUAGCGGCGAACGGGUGAGUAGCACGUAAGGAAUCUACCUAUAAGCGGGGGAUAACAUUCGGAAACGGGUGCUAACACCGCAUAAUAUCUUCUUCCGCAUGGAAGAAGAUUGAAAGACGGCUCUGCUGUCACUUAUAGAUGACCUUGCGGUGCAUUAGUUAGUUGGUGGGGUAAUGGCCUACCAAGACGAUGAUGCAUAGCCGACCUGAGAGGGUGAUCGGCCACAUUGGGACUGAGACACGGCCCAAACUCCUACGGGAGGCAGCAGUAGGGAAUCUUCCGCAAUGGGCGAAAGCCUGACGGAGCAAUGCCGCGUGAGUGAAGAAGGCCUUCGGGUCGUAAAACUCUGUUAUAAGAGAAGAACAAAUUGUAGAGUAACUGCUACAGUCUUGACGGUAUCUUAUCAGAAAGCCACGGCUAACUACGUGCCAGCAGCCGCGGUAA